GAUGAACGCUGGCGGCGUGCCUAAUACAUGCAAGUCGAGCGAACAGACGAGGAGCUUGCUCCUCUGACGUUAGCGGCGGACGGGUGAGUAACACGUGGAUAACCUACCUAUAAGACUGGGAUAACUUCGGGAAACCGGAGCUAAUACCGGAUAAUAUAUUGAACCGCAUGGUUCAAUAGUGAAAGACGGUUUUGCUGUCACUUAUAGAUGGAUCAGCGCCGCAUUAGCUAGUUGGUAAGGUAACGGCUUACCAAGGCAACGAUGCGUAGCCGACCUGAGAGGGGGGUUCGCCACACUGGCACUGAGAAACGGUCCCGACUCCUAAGGGGGGCAACAGUAAGGAAUCCUACGGCAUGGGGCAAAGGCUUAAGGGGGAACGCCGGCGGAAGGAUGAAGGUCCUAGGCUCCGUAAACUCUGUUAUUAGGGAAGAACAAAUGUGUAAGUAACUAUGCACGUCUUGACGGUACCUAAUCAGAAAGCCACGGCUAACUACGUG
RNAcentral lists this ribosomal RNA (497 nucleotides) under uncultured bacterium. Its description in RNAcentral is "partial 16S ribosomal RNA". It matches the Rfam family "Bacterial small subunit ribosomal RNA", at positions 28 to 507 of the family's 1533-position model. The record is from RNAcentral.